This 250-nucleotide ribosomal RNA is filed under the name uncultured bacterium. RNAcentral's name for it is "partial 16S ribosomal RNA". It matches the Rfam family "Bacterial small subunit ribosomal RNA", at positions 524 to 774 of the family's 1533-position model. The record is from RNAcentral.
AACGUAGGAGGCAAGCGUUAUCCGGAGUACUGGGCGUAAAGCGCGUGCAGGCGGAUAGUUAAGUUACUCAUGAAAGCUCCCGGCUAAACUGGGAGAGGUUGAGUAAAACUGGCUGUCUAGAGUGGAUGAGAGGUAGGUAGAAUUCCUUGUGUAGUGGUGAAAUGCGUAGAUAUAAGGAAGAAUACCAGUGGCGAAGGCGACCUACUGGCAUCCAACUGACGCUCAGACGCGAAAGCAUGGGUAGCGAACG